AAAAGGAUUGGCUCUAAGGGUUGAGUGGUGGGUCUCGGUGGGGGAAGCGCGGGGCGCGCGAGGGACUACUGGGGCUGACCUGCCUUUCGGGGCGGGACGGCUUCGGCGGACCCUUGGGGGCCUUGCGUGGACGCCAUCGAGGGGUGGCGUAGACUCGUUCUGCGUCACCCUCCAACGUGCCACAAAGAACAACCGACUUAGAACUGGAGCGGACAAGGGGAACCCGACUGUUUAAUUAAAACAAAGC
RNAcentral lists this ribosomal RNA (247 nucleotides) under Coccolithus braarudii. Its description in RNAcentral is "partial Eukaryotic large subunit ribosomal RNA". It matches the Rfam family "Eukaryotic large subunit ribosomal RNA", at positions 1941 to 2157 of the family's 3401-position model. Lineage: Eukaryota; Haptophyta; Coccolithales; Coccolithaceae. The record is from RNAcentral.